This 219-nucleotide ribosomal RNA is filed under the name Salmonella enterica subsp. enterica serovar Urbana str. ATCC 9261. RNAcentral's name for it is "partial 23S ribosomal RNA". It matches the Rfam family "Bacterial large subunit ribosomal RNA", at positions 2714 to 2925 of the family's 2925-position model. The record is from RNAcentral. Lineage: Bacteria; Pseudomonadati; Pseudomonadota; Gammaproteobacteria; Enterobacterales; Enterobacteriaceae.
GUUCGGGUUGUCAUGCCAAUGGCACUGCCCGGUAGCUAAAUGCGGAAGAGAUAAGUGCUGAAAGCAUCUAAGCACGAAACUUGCCCCGAGAUGAGUUCUCCCUGAGACUUAGAGUCUCCUGAAGGAACGUUGAAGACGACGACGUUGAUAGGCCGGGUGUGUAAGCGCAGCGAUGCGUUGAGCUAACCGGUACUAAUGAACCGUGAGGCUUAACCUUAC